CGGAGGAAAAGAAACCAACCGGGAUUGCCUCAGUAACGGCGAGUGAAGCGGCAAAAGCUCAAAUUUGAAAUCCUUCGGGAGUUGUAAUUUGUAGAGGGGUGUCUUUGGGGCGGCAUUGUCUAUGUUCCUUGGAACAGGACGUCACAGAGGGUGAGAAUCCCGUGCGAUGAUGCCUCAACCAGUACAAGACCCUCUCGACGAGUCGAGUUGUUUGGGAAUGCAGCUCUAAGUGGGUGGUAAAUUCCAUCUAAAGCUAAAUACUGGCGAGAGACCGAUAGCGAACAAGUACAGUGAUGGAAAGAUGAAAAGCACUUUGAAAAGAGAGUGAAACAGUACGUGAAAUUGUUGAAAGGGAAGGGUAGGAGGUGAGGGGAAGAGCUGCUUAGGCGCGGGAGAUAAACAAGCAGGAAGCGCUUCGGUGCGGCCUGGUAAAUAUCCCGUGCUUGUGUGGUUCU
Molecule: ribosomal RNA, 455 nt
Filed under: Diutina catenulata
Lineage: Eukaryota; Fungi; Ascomycota; Pichiomycetes; Serinales; Debaryomycetaceae
Description: LSU rRNA
Rfam family: Eukaryotic large subunit ribosomal RNA
Source: RNAcentral